GUGGAAGAGUGCAGACAAGCAGACACUCUCCUCUGAAGCAUGCAAUGGUGCCAACUACUUUUUCACGCUGCAGCCCACAAGUACAGACAUGAGUCAACGGAAGACACUUGACGUGCAGUUUUAGAACUUGGCCAAAAACUGAGCGGAGACUGAACAGCGGAGAAGCCUUUGAGUGAAAACGUGGCCCGGAACCAGGAGCUCACUCAAGCAUGUUAUAUGGAGCAGCGUUGUUAUUGUUAUUGUUUGGGGGUAGUGGCAGACAUUUUCAGUGCAUGGACCAGCAGAAGGAGGAUUUGGAUGUUCACUUUCAAAUUACUCACAUAUUUACAGCUUUAACCCUCAAGCGAACAAAUGGAGUCAUAUCUGACCCCAGACAUAUAGUACUUUAUUGAUAUUUUAUUGAUAUCUUAAUUUAAAUGUCACUUGAACCUGGCACAGUUUAAUGCUAAUCUCUGUGUGUACAGUAUUGUGGUAUGAGGUGAAUGAAUAUCAUGGAAUACUACAGUCAAAACUACAGUUAAAUGAUUUUGCUCUUAUAAAAUAUAGCAGUAUAUUUUGCUCAAGCGCAGUUCAGGGGAACUAACGAUUAUUGAUCGAUGCCUGUAUUGUGGCACUACGCUGUGUGAUUUACAGCUUCAUGGCUUUUAUCUGUGAUAUUGGAUUUCUGGUGUGUCCUGCAUUGUAUGUUACUAUUCACUACUCGUGAGUUACUUUGCAUAAGAGCAUUUGAAAAAAUAUAUCGAUAGUCAUACAUUUCUAUGGUUGACGAGGAUUGCACUAGACCUGCACUGUGGCUGUGGAACAUGCACUCAGAAGUGGAGUUUAAAUGCAGGAGGAACAGUGUGAGAAACUGCAUCAGAUCUGGGGAAUAUUAUUAUUUAUUCAAAAACUGUAUUCCUGCUUCAUUAAAAAAUUAUAUCUGUGA
This is a long non-coding RNA of Conger conger (European conger), 925 nucleotides long. RefSeq lists it as uncharacterized. NCBI's taxonomy places the organism in Eukaryota, Metazoa, Chordata, Actinopteri, Anguilliformes, Congridae. The record is from RefSeq and is a predicted model, not a curated record. The transcript has 2 exons.